CCUACGGGUGGCAGCAGUGGGGAAUAUUGCACAAUGGGCGAAACCCUGAUGCAGCAACGCAGCGUGAGGGAUGAAGUAUUUCGGUAUGUAAAGCUCUAUCAGCAGGGAAGAAGAAAGACGGUACCUGGCUAAGAAGCACGGACUAACUGCGUGCCAGCAGCCGCGGUAAUACGUAGGGGCCGAGCGUUAUCUGGAUUUACUGGGGUUAAAGGGAGCGUAGACGGCUUUGUAAGUCUUAAGUGAAAGCCCGUGGCUCAACCGUGGAACUGCUUUGGAAACUGGAUAGCUUGAGUACUGGAGAGGCAGGCGGAAUUCGUAGUGUAGCGGUGAAAUGCGUAGAUAUUAGGAGGAACACCAGUGGCGAAGGCGGCCUGCUGGACAGAAACUGACGUUGAGGCUCGAAAGUGUGGGGAGCAAACAGGAUUAGAUACCCUAGUAGUC
RNAcentral lists this ribosomal RNA (441 nucleotides) under uncultured bacterium. RNAcentral's name for it is "partial 16S ribosomal RNA". It matches the Rfam family "Bacterial small subunit ribosomal RNA", at positions 338 to 795 of the family's 1533-position model. The record is from RNAcentral.